AGGAAGGCAGUUAGGCUGCAGUGAAUUCUACAAAGAAGACUAUGGGAAAGGAGCCUGGAAAGUACCCUUGGCUGUGUAUAUUUGAGUAAAGAGAGCACUAUAAAAUCAAAAACCAAUGAAAUGGUUUCCAGAACACAGAGCUAUUAAGCUUAAGAAAAGGACAGAAGGAACUGAAGAGAGAGGAACUGUGUUUUGGAGCAUCACACUUCCACCUCAGAAGAAAUAAGGAAGGAAGGAGGAGGGUGUUCCCAUGGCUCUUCAACCAGGCCAGCUCUUCAGCCUACAUCCCCAUCUCAUCAAGUAAAAGGGAUUUUUCAAUUGGACCAACCAGAUGGUUUAACAGUGCACUCCCACACCAUUCAACUACGCAAGGGAGAUUCACUUAACAUAUGCAGUCGUAUAACACCUACUAACAUUUUCAAACAUUAAACCUUUAAAAAAGAGUUCUAAAGAAAUAGAAGCAUGAAGUAUCAUCUCUCAAGUAUAUAGACACUACUUCAUGGUGUGGUAAUAUAUGCAUAUAGAAGCUAGUAAACACCUCCAGGAUGUGCAAAAGGAAUUAGAACUGCCACAAGGUGCAAGCAAAACCUUGAAUCUCCAUUGAUGGUGAAGUAUUUUCACUAUUUGGCAUGUCUCAUCUAGUACCUAGAACAGUGUGUUGCAUGCAGUAGCAGGUUUAUAAACAUUUGCGAGUAAAAAAUCCAACCUGAUACUCAAGUCCUGUUUUUCCUCUUCUAAUCCUUCACCCAUCUGAGCUAAAGUCUAGACCCAAGGAGGCUACUAAUUCAGGGAUCGAGUAAUCUGCCAAGCAAGAGUUUAUUCAAGCACAGUUUGAAAUAAAGGUUUCAAAUGCAUGGCCUGUCGAUACUUUGGAUGGAUUCUCAUCAUAACGUGUAUGCAAUUUGCUAUAAAGAAGAAUGCCCAUUAUGGACUAAAUGUUUAUGACUCCUAAAAUUCAUAUGUUGAAGUCCUAACUCUCAGUGUGAUGAUUAUGUGGAGAUGGUGCCUUUGGGAGGUAACCGGGCUUAGAUGUGGUCACGAGGGUGGGGCCUCAUGGUGCAAUUUGUGCCCUUGUAAGAAAAACACACCACAGCUUUUCGUUCUUCCUCUGCCACGUGAGGCCACAGUAAGAAUGUGACCAUCUACAAGCCAGGAGGAAAGUCCUCACUGGAACCUGCCCAUAAUAACACUCCAGUCUGGGGCUUUUCAGCCUCCAGAAACAUGAGAAAUAAAUUUCCGGUGUUUAAGUCA
Molecule: long non-coding RNA, 1251 nt
Organism: Nomascus leucogenys (northern white-cheeked gibbon)
Lineage: Eukaryota; Metazoa; Chordata; Mammalia; Primates; Hylobatidae
Exons: 4
Source: RefSeq, a predicted model, not a curated record